UGCAUACCUACAAUGUGUUAGGCAACAUGAUAGGAAAAUUUCAUUUUGCAAUACAUUGCCAUGCCAGUCUUAGAGGGGUAAGUGCAUUCUAGGAAGGGGAAUAAAUGUAAAGGCUCAAUCCUGUUAAACUCUAGCUGCAUCUAAAGUUGCAGCUAGAGUUUAACAAUAGUGCAAAACAAAGUUUUGAUUCCGUUUUCUAAUCUCUACAGUGAGAAAAGAAGAACACGCUUCCUCCUAACUAAUGAAGAUUAAAUGAGUUAGGCAGGGAAGCACUCAGCACAGGGCCCAGCUCUAUGUGCAAAAUUACUGAGAUUCUCACACACUACCUGGACUGACACUGGCUACACGUUAUUUGGAGAAACUAUAUUGACUAAC
RNAcentral lists this long non-coding RNA (375 nucleotides) under Homo sapiens (human). RNAcentral describes it as "HSALNT0095311". The record is from RNAcentral. Lineage: Eukaryota; Metazoa; Chordata; Mammalia; Primates; Hominidae.